AGAGUUUGAUCAUGGCUCAGGACGAACGCUGGCGGCGUGCUUAACACAUGCAAGUCACGGGGGCUCGCAAGGGCAACCGGCGAACGGGUGCGUAACACGUGAGCAACUUACCGAUUUGUGGGGGAUAGCCGGCCCAACGGCCGGGUAAUACCGCAUACGCUCUUCGGGUGGAGUCACCUGAAGAGGAAACCUCCGGGGCAAAUCGAGGGGCUCGCGGCCUAUCAGCUAGUUGGUGCGGGUAACGGCCCACCAAGGCGAUGACGGGUAGCUGGUCUGAGAGGAUGGCCAGCCACAUUGGGACUGAGAAACGGCCCAGGCUCCUACGGGAGGCAGCAGUGGGGGAAUCUUGCGCAAUGGCCGAAAGGCUGACGCAGCGACGCCGCGUGUGGGAGGAAGCUCUUCGGGGUGUAAACCACUGUUGCCUGGGACGAACGUCAGGAUUUUUCCUGAUUGACGGUACCGGGUGAGGAAGCACCGGCUAACUCUGUGCCAGCAGCCGCGGUAAUACAGAGGGUGCGAGCGUUGUCCGGAAUCACUGGGCGUAAAGGGCGCGUAGGUGGCCACUGUAAGGCCGUGGUGAAAGUCCGGGGCUCAACCCCGGAUCUGCCAAGGCGACUGCAGGGCUUGGGCACCGUAGAGGCAGAUGGAAUUCCGGGUGUAGCGGUGGAAUGCGUAGAGAUCCGGAAGAACACCGGUGGCGAAGGCGGUCUGCUGGGCGGUGGGGGCGCAAGCCCCUCUUAGCCGACACUGAGNNNCGACAGCGUGGNNACAAACAGGAUUAGAUACCCUAGUAGUCC
Molecule: ribosomal RNA, 797 nt
Filed under: uncultured bacterium
Lineage: Bacteria
Description: bacterial SSU rRNA
Rfam family: Bacterial small subunit ribosomal RNA
Source: RNAcentral